CCCCUUUAACUCCACAGUGAACCACCCUAUAUUCGGAGUGUUCCUUCGGGAACUAUGGACAUAAACGCGCUCGUAAUAAGCGGAUCGGACCCGGGGGCGGUACCCGGCGGCUCCACCAAAUAUCCUUCGUUUGGGGAUUAUGGGGCCGAAAUAGGAUCGACGGACGUCUAAAGGGGUUAGCUUUGUCUCGGCUGUCUGCCACCGUUACCGGCGAAAACAGUACAAUUGCAAACGACAAUCGUGCUCCGGUUGCUCUGGCUGCGUAAGCAGUCCGAGUUGAACCGACUUUAAGCCCUAGCGCCUAGCAGCGUUAGGCGGGGUUCGCAGGUACCUGGCAACAGAAACCUGCACU
This 352-nucleotide transfer-messenger RNA is filed under the name Tritonibacter mobilis. It matches the Rfam family "Alphaproteobacteria transfer-messenger RNA". Rfam says of the family: Bacterial tmRNA, also known as 10Sa RNA or SsrA, is named for its dual tRNA and mRNA-like properties. Its role is to liberate the mRNA from a stalled ribosome. Lineage: Bacteria; Pseudomonadati; Pseudomonadota; Alphaproteobacteria; Rhodobacterales; Paracoccaceae. The record is from RNAcentral.